GUAGGCUGCAACUCGCCACACGAAGCUGGAAUCGCUAGUAAUCGCGGAUCAGCACGCCGCGGUGAAUGCGUUCCCGGGCCUUGUACACACCGCCCGUCAAGUCAUGAAAGUGGGCAGCACCCGAAGACGGUGGCCUAACCCUUGUGGGGGAGCCGUCUAAGGUGAGGCUCGUGAUUGGGACUAAGUCGUAACAAGGUAUC
This 200-nucleotide ribosomal RNA is filed under the name uncultured bacterium. RNAcentral describes it as "partial 16S ribosomal RNA". It matches the Rfam family "Bacterial small subunit ribosomal RNA", at positions 1300 to 1500 of the family's 1533-position model. The record is from RNAcentral.